UGGGGCUGUCUGUGUGCUGGCUCUGCACAGGGACAGUCCUGGCCUCUUCCUAUCCUCCUGCUGCUGGGUGACAUGUGCCCUUCCAUCCUCAAGUGGGCUGGUCUGCUUAGUGUCCCUAGGGGCCUCCCCACAAGUGGUCUUUGCAGAGAAACAGCAGCAGCAUUGAGCCAGGAGCAAGGCUGGGGGCAGGCGCCUGACUGAGUGGACCCGACAUGACACUCAAGUAGGAAAAGGUGGUGACAAAUUGAUAGCAAAGCAACAGAAAGGGACCAGGGAGCCCCGUGGUAAUGUCAAACAUCCCCCCGAUGGGCACCGACUCCACAGACGCCAAAGUCAGAGACACCCGAGCAACCAGGGAGACCCGUCCCUCCUUUCCUGAACAGGUCAUGGUCACCAGGAGGGCCAUGCUUGGGACAGGUGACCGCAGCCAGUGGACACAGAUGCUCAUGUAUCUGAGGCUGCAGAAAGGAAAGAGCAAAUCCGAGGUGCCCAAAGACCACACCGAAAAAAACCAAAGAAGGAAACUCAGGGACGAGGUCGGGGGCCUGGCUGGCGAGUGUGGCAAGACAGCACGAAUGUCCCCUUCUCCCUAUGCUUAACUCAUGUCCAACCCAAGCGGAAGUAGACAUGGCUGGCUUGUUGAAAACAUGUUCCUCAAAGGAAAUCCCACGUGAUUCCUUCCGCUGGGACAAAACCCAGACAUGUGGCCACACUGAGUGAACACCUGCUCCAUGCCAGGCGCCCUUCCAGACUCUGAAGAGCCAGCAGUGCGCAAAGCAGACCCAACGCCUGCCCUCGUGGAGCCCUGAAGGUUAAUGAGCUCCAGAGAUACAUGGAGGCUGCAUAGAUCUUCUUCCUUGUUCGCCUCUGCUGGCUGGAGAUCCUUGACCAUGAGGAUGGACUUGCUCCUGAAGGGUAACUGGAGGUACGGGAGAAAUUAGCAGCUGCUUCAGCUGUCACUAAGUGCAAGUGACAAGCCCAUUACCAUGCUCUCUAAUGACCACCUGAAUGUUUCCCUUCAUUUUGUCAAAAAUAACAUCCUCAUCGCUGCACAGGACCCCACCCGGCACCUUCUGUUGCGUGCUUCCUUCAGGCCAGUGUCUUCCUUCGCUGCCACCAUCACAGCUUCUCUGUUCUUUAGGGCCCCCUUUCUCUGUCAUCCAUCCACUCCACCCCAUCCAGGAGCACCCCCAUACCACCAUUCCCCGGCGCAGGACAGAUACCAGCCACCUGCUCUGUGUUCCCUUGGGAGGCGGCAGCACUCUUGGGGCCCAUAAUGGGAGGUGCUGCUGCAAACAUCAAGACCAAGAAGUCGCUCUGCCCCAGCAUGCUGUUAGCACAAAGUGGCCUUCACCAUCCACUGAACAAUGGGGACUUUCUGGAUGUGAGUGCCAAGGGCUUGCAGGCGCCAGAGGGAGUACGCGGAGUGGCACCUGCAGUCACAGUCCGCUGCUACCAUGGGGAGCGCCCAGUGCUUUCCUCUGACACUGGGGGAGACCUCCUUCCAAAUCAGCUCUGGGGGUCUGCGUGCCCAAUGGGGCGUUUCUGGUGUCCAUGAGUACUAAAGGUCCCCGGGCCACUUGACACCAGUGGGAUUCUGUGUUUACUGCACAGAGGUUGCAGCUGUCCCUUCGCUCCACGGACCAGAGGGGGAUGCAUAGGGGCCUCCUUGGACCGAUUAGGAGUUGCUCAUCACCUGGAGGGCCCCCGGGCCGUCCUCCUGCCUCACCACUGCCCUUCACGGAGUCCCCCCCAGGGGACACAUCUGUGUUCCCCAAGCCCCCCUACACUUGGGCAGACGGAGUCACUCCCUCCCAGGGAAGAGAGGCAGGAAAGGAAAACCACAGCUCAUAAAUGGUCCACGAUGUCACUGAGGAAAGAGGAAACACUGCCUUUCCUCCUUAACAGCAAAAUCAAUCGAGGCCCAGUAAGCUAACGAGAAAACACACCCACAGCUCGGGCAGCUGCUUUCCCGGAGGGUCCUCAUCUUCCCACUGCCGAGUGCUUUGCCUCCCAGGGCCCAGCCCCACCCCAGCGCCAAGUUGGGCAAAGGCCCUGCCGUCACAACUGGGGUCUGGGUGGACAAGGGAUGUGACCUUGUCGCACACACAGAACACGGCUUCUGACUGUUUUCUCUACUGAGGAAGGAGCAAGAAAACGGGGCCCCUCGUGGCAGGAACCACCCAAGUGGGUGGGAGGAGACUCAUCUUGAAGAAACAGGGGAACCAGGCUGGGGUCAGGUAGGGGCAAUCGCCAUGUGAGUCACUCUCUAAGGUGGGCAAAACCGUAGAGUCACGUGAGUGCUGCUGGGACAACCCUGCCUGAGAUGAGGACGGGGACCCGGAGGCCAGGUCAGAGUGACUCCAGCCACCUCUCUCCAGCCCUGCCAACAGGGAAAAGGGCGUGCAACUGUCAUGAGAACCUGGAAAGGCAGGGAAGAGUGCGUCUGGCAGCUGGAGAGGCGGACGGCAGGCAGGAGAGACUGGGCACCCCAGGCUGGGGCCACAGGGCUGGGAGUGAGGGGACAACACCAUUCGCCAACGGGAUGCCAUCAGAUUCCUCCAGCCACAGAAGGGGCGGGUCCACUGCAGCAGACACAUUGGCUAGGGAGCACC
Sapajus apella (tufted capuchin) is the source of this 2615-nucleotide long non-coding RNA. RefSeq lists it as uncharacterized. The record is from RefSeq and is a predicted model, not a curated record. The transcript has 3 exons. NCBI's taxonomy places the organism in Eukaryota, Metazoa, Chordata, Mammalia, Primates, Cebidae.